Molecule: ribosomal RNA, 252 nt
Filed under: uncultured bacterium
Lineage: Bacteria
Description: partial 16S ribosomal RNA
Rfam family: Bacterial small subunit ribosomal RNA
Source: RNAcentral
UACGGAAGGUGCGAGCGUUGUUCGGAUUGAUUGGGCGUAAGCGCAUGUAGGCGGGUUUGUAAGUCGAUGUGAAGCCCUGGGCUUAACCUGGGAACUGCAUCCGAAACUAUAAAUCUUGAAUGCUCGAGGGUUGGUGGAAUUCCUGGUGUAAGGAUGUGAAAUCCGUAGAUAUCAGGAGGAACACCGGAGGCGAAGGCGGCCAACUGGCGAUGCAUUGACGCUGAGGUGCGAAAGCGUGGGGAGCAAACAGGG